RNAcentral lists this ribosomal RNA (468 nucleotides) under uncultured bacterium. RNAcentral describes it as "partial 16S ribosomal RNA". It matches the Rfam family "Bacterial small subunit ribosomal RNA", at positions 28 to 507 of the family's 1533-position model. The record is from RNAcentral.
GACGAACGCUGGCGGCGUGCUUAACACAUGCAAGUCGAACGGAAAGGCCCUGCUUUUGUGGGGUGCUCGAGUGGCGAACGGGUGAGUAACACGUGAGUAACCUGCUCUUGACUUUGGGAUAACUUCAGGAAACUGGGGCUAAUACCGGAUAGGAGCUCCUGCUGCAUGGUGGGGGUUGGAAAGUUUCGGCGGUUGGGGAUGGACUCGCGGCUUAUCAGCUUGUUGGUGGGGUAGUGGCUUACCAAGGCUUUGACGGGUAGCCGGCCUGAGAGGGUGACCGGCCACAUUGGGACUGAGAUACGGCCCAGACUCCUACGGGAGGCAGCAGUGGGGAGUAUUGCACAAUGGGCGGAAGCCUGAUGCAGCAACGCCGCGUGCGGGAUGACGGCCUUCGGGUUGUAAACCGCUUUCGCCUGUGACGAAGCGUGAGUGACGGUAAUGGGUAAAGAAGCACCGGCUAACUACGUG